UGAGCUGCGGCGGCCUACCAUGCUAGUCGAGCGGAUGAAGAGAGCUUGCUCUCUGAUUCAGCGGCGGACGGGUGAGUAAUGCCUAGGAAUCUGCCUGGUAGUGGGGGACAACGUCUCGAAAGGGACGCUAAUACCGCAUACGUCCUACGGGAGAAAGCAGGGGACCUUCGGGCCUUGCGCUAUCAGAUGAGCCUAGGUCGGAUUAGCUAGUUGGUGAGGUAAUGGCUCACCAAGGCGACGAUCCGUAACUGGUCUGAGAGGAUGAUCAGUCACACUGGAACUGAGACACGGUCCAGACUCCUACAGGAGGCAGCAGUGGGGAAUAUUGGACAAUGGGCGAAAGCCUGAUCCAGCCAUGCCGCGUGUGUGAAGAAUGUCUUCGGAUUGUAAAGCACUUUAAGUUGGGAGGAAGGGCAGUAAGCGAAUACCUUGCUGUUUUGACGUUACCCACAGAAUAAGCACCGGCUAACUCUGUGCCAGCAGCCGCGGUAAU
This 493-nucleotide ribosomal RNA is filed under the name uncultured bacterium. RNAcentral's name for it is "bacterial SSU rRNA". It matches the Rfam family "Bacterial small subunit ribosomal RNA", at positions 39 to 524 of the family's 1533-position model. The record is from RNAcentral.